UUGGAGGGCAAGUCUGGUGCCAGCAGCCGCGGUAAUUCCAGCUCCAAUAGCGUAUAUUAAAGUUGUUGCAGUUAAAAAGCUCGUAGUUGAAUUUCGGGAUCAGCAGGUUGGUCGUGCCUCUGGUAUGCACUGGUCUCGCUGAUUCCUCCUUUCUGAAGAACUGUAAUGUCAUUAAUUUGGUGUUGCAGGGAAACAGGACUGUUACUUUGAAAAAAUUAGAGUGUUUAAAGCAGGCUAACGCUUGAAUACAUUAGCAUGGAAUAAUGAAAUAGGACGUUUGAUCCUAUUUUGCUGGUUUCUAGGAUUGACGUAAUGAUUAAUAGGGAUAGUUGGGGGCAUUAGUAUUCAAUUGUCAGAGGUGAAAUUCUUGGAUUUAUUGAAGACUAACUACUGCGAAGGCAUUUGCCAAGGAUGUUUUCAUUAAUCAAGAACGAAAGUUAGGGGAUCGAAGACGAUCGGAUACCGUCGUAGUCUUAACCAUAAACUAUGCCGACUAGGGAUCGGAUGAUGUUAAUUUUUUAAUGACUCAUUCGGCGCCUUACGGGAAAC
RNAcentral lists this ribosomal RNA (549 nucleotides) under uncultured Glomeromycotina. RNAcentral describes it as "SSU rRNA". It matches the Rfam family "Eukaryotic small subunit ribosomal RNA", at positions 548 to 1098 of the family's 1831-position model. Lineage: Eukaryota; Fungi; Glomeromycota. The record is from RNAcentral.